GAUGAACGCUGGCGGCGUGCCUAAUACAUGCAAGUCGAGCGAACGGACGAGAAGCUUGCUUCUCUGAUGUUAGCGGCGGACGGGUGAGUAACACGUGGAUAACCUACCUAUAAGACUGGGAUAACUUCGGGAAACCGGAGCUAAUACCGGCUAAUAUUUUGAACCGCAUGGUUCAAAAGUGAAAGACGGUCUUGCUGUCACUUAUAGAUGGAUCCGCGCUGCAUUAGCUAGUUGGUAAGGUAACGGCUUACCAAGGCAACGAUGCAUAGCCGACCUGAGAGGGUGAUCGGCCACACUGGAACUGAGACACGGUCCAGACCCCUACGGGAGGCAGCAGUAGGGAAUCUUCCGCAAUGGGCGAAAGCCUGACGGAGCAACGCCGCGUGAGUGAUGAAGGUCUUCGGAUCGUAAAACUCUGUUAUUAGGGAAGAACAUAUGUGUAAGUAACUGUGCACAUCUUGACGGUACCUAAUCAGAAAGCCACGGCUAACUACGUG
This 497-nucleotide ribosomal RNA is filed under the name uncultured bacterium. RNAcentral describes it as "partial 16S ribosomal RNA". It matches the Rfam family "Bacterial small subunit ribosomal RNA", at positions 28 to 507 of the family's 1533-position model. The record is from RNAcentral.